This 73-nucleotide transfer RNA is filed under the name Cyphomyrmex costatus. It matches the Rfam family "tRNA". Rfam says of the family: Transfer RNA (tRNA) molecules are approximately 80 nucleotides in length. Their secondary structure includes four short double-helical elements and three loops (D, anti-codon, and T loops). Further hydrogen bonds mediate the characteristic L-shaped molecular structure. tRNAs have two regions of fundamental functional importance: the anti-codon, which is responsible for specific mRNA codon recognition, and the 3' end, to which the tRNAs corresponding amino acid is attached (by aminoacyl-tRNA synthetases). tRNAs cope with the degeneracy of the genetic code in two manners: having more than one tRNA (with a specific anti-codon) for a particular amino acid; and 'wobble' base-pairing, i.e. permitting non-standard base-pairing at the 3rd anti-codon position. Lineage: Eukaryota; Metazoa; Arthropoda; Insecta; Hymenoptera; Formicidae. The record is from Rfam by way of RNAcentral.
GCCUCGGUAGUCUAAUUGAUUAGGAUACUUGCGUGUAAAACAAGCGAUCCGGGUUCGACUCCCAGCCGAGGUA